AUGCUUUAUUACCGGGUUGGGAGUGAUCGCACCCGCAGGGGUGCGACAAGCCACAAUUUCUAUCUGGUCUAUGUUAGGCCUGUCCAGACGACUUCAACUUCUGUACGCUACAUUUUCUUUUGGAUGUGUCAUGUCGUCAUUUCUAUUGGUCUACGUUAUGCCUAAGACCAACCAAGGAUUUAUCAGUUUGGUUGUUAUAAAUUGUCUGUAAGCUACUACAUGUUGUCGUGUCUUUUAUGCCUAAGAUAUUUAGUGCUAAACCUAUCGGCGAAACAUGCUUUCUAUGUUCAUGCAUUGUUUAGAGGCUUCUUAUUGUGUGUAUACAAACAUUUGGACCGGCACCCUCGCGCCAAGGCGUGAUCCCGAUCUAGUUUCAGAAUAUUGUUAGCCCAACAUACAUGAUAUUUGUACAUUAGCAACAUGUAUGUUAGUCCCAAAAUGAAUUUUUGAACUAUGGAUGGUACCACUAAAUUUUUUUGAACCACAUCUAAAUUUCUCAUUUGCUUCUCUGUUUACAUGACCCACAAUGCACUUGAUUUCCAAACUAAUAGAUUUGGAAACAAUAGUAGUUUUGGUUUGUUUUUAUUCAACAACAGUUGCAUAUUCUUGCUAUAAUCUGUGAUAUGGUCUGUGCUGGCUAUCAUGCUUCUUAAUUUCCAAUAUAUUGAUCCAACAGUUACAGCAUGGCCUGAUAGACAUUGAAAUCAAUUUGUUCGGGCUGAGAACCAUUCUAUAUAAUACUCACCAUUGUUUCGUUUCUUUUGGUCUAGGACAAAGGGUAUAGGAAUGUUUGUAUUCAGAUAGAAGGCUGAAUUAGAUGCAUUCUUCGAGAGAAAUUUACAUCUUUUUACUAAUUCCUCUCUUUGUUUUGUUUGUUUGGCUAUUUCAGAAUGACAACGAGAUACACCUCCUUGAUGAAAAUAUAUGGGCAGUCGUGUAGUCAUCACCGAGGAAGAUAUUGUAUGUAGCUUACUAUAUUUUUGGACUGCCAAAACAUGAGAAGGUGGGGUUUCAUUCUGUACCCCUGAUAUUAUGCACAAUCAUAUAUGUACUUCCUCCCGUAGCGACGGCCGGGGGUGAGGAGACGUCGAUUAGGGUUUAGGGUUUGAUGUUAGAUUCUCUUAGCUUUGAUGGUAUGUGGUUCAACAUAGAUAAUGUCCAUAGUGCCCUAUGGUUUUAUGACAUAUUUUUGGAUCCUGAUGCAGUUAUGGUAUCUUCUAUGAGACAAUUUGUUUCACCGUGUUGGUAGACCAUUUUUUAUGUUGUGUGCUCAAGCGGCUCUCUGUUUUCUUUUAGUGCUUCUUGCUUGCUAUUUUGUUGUUGUUAGGAAUGCAGUGUUAAUUUAGUUUCCUACAAUUUUGAUCUUUCAAGUAUAUUAAAAACUUUAUAAGUUCUGAUGUAUCAACAAGAAUCUGCGGAUGCUUCUUUUCUUCUUGGGUUCUUAAAAAAGCACAAAGGUGGUCCAUCUUGAACCGUAAUCUGUUCGACACUGUUUUUCUAAUUCCCUAGGAAAUUAUUAGUCAUUCUGGUGUUUGGAGAUACACUGUCAAGGUGACUAAUAAACUUUCUUACUUUUACAAUGUACAAUGCAUAUAUAAGUUAAUAUUAUGUACUUCUGUGUUAGGAAAGUGCGCCUUUGCUUUGGUCUUGCUGUUGUUAUGAGGUCCAUUUGUAAAGAGCACGGUCCCAUCCUUCCAUUAUCAUGGUCCCAUUAGGUAAAUGAAGUUACUAUAGUUGAGAGCAUGGAUAUGCCCCUUCCAAAGCUCUAUGCUAGCUUCUUUGUUUUAUAGUAUUUAACAAAAUUCUUCAUCAACAGUUUGAAUACUUGUUUGUUUUAUAGUAUUUCGCAGAAUUCUUCAUCAACAGUUAGAAUAACAAUGUCCUAAGCAAUUUGGAUGACUCAUAUUAUUGAAUCGAUCCAUGUUUAAGCUAAAUUGUUAUGGAUUGAACUUUGAGGAGCUCAAUCCAUAUAGCUAAAUUGAUGUUAUUUAGUUACGAAAUUAGAGAAAAGUGGGAUGCUCCUUUUCUGACUAGGUGCAUACUUUCACUUGAUUUCUAUAUUUUAAAUGCUCCCCGCCUGUUGCUAAGAACAUAUAGCCAUGUGAUUUUUCUUGCUAAUUUUCUGUCAUUUAAGAGUUCUAUUUUGCUCUGUUCCUAUAGUAACCAUUUGGGACUUGGAUACAAAGUUUUGUCCUGGGCGGUUGAAUUUAUAAGGACAUGAUAUCUUGCCAUUAUGCAACCUAUACCAUGCUUGUGUCAUGGCAGUAUUAACCCCUCCAUCUACUCUUUGUUGCUGAAGAAACCAGUAGUUGUAUUCAUUGCAUGUCAGCUGGUCUACGACUUCCAUAAGUUUGCAUCAUUUUUUUUGAGUACUUUGCUGUUAGUAACUUCAACAAGACUAUAAAAAAAUGUUGGAUCUACAGGGGGCAACACAUAACCAGCGAUAAUGAGGUGCCGUUGGCCAUGGGUGCAGUUGUCCACAGCUAGGGGUGGGAUUGUUAGUUUGUUACAACAUAUGGAUGAUAUGCACAUGGAAGGUGCUCUAAUAAUCCCCACUAUUAUUUAUUUGUAUCAUCUGCUAAUGGUUUUGUAUUUGAAAAUGAAUAUUAUCCUUGUUUCUUAUAUACGCAGGCUGAUAUAAACAAGCUAUAAUUGUUUGGGCUAUGAUUCGCAACAUAGAUUGGGGAUUUUAAAAUGUCAGACAAGAAAGUUAUCGGCCUAGUAGGUUCAGAUUCAGUUCUAUUUUUUAAAAUUUUCUUUUCUGUUACAAAAUCAUUUUUUGAUACUUUUCUCCCUUUUAUGUCAUAAAUCAGAUAAGUAUCUCAGUGUUUUAUAUGCAAUGUUACACAUUUGUUCAAGACAAAAAAAAAUUCAUAUAUUGAGUUUACUUACAAACCUUUGGUUGAGAUGAAAGUUUACAUCUGAUGUCAUUCCACUAGGACUCUGAAAUAGUCCCAAAAAAUGUUGUAUUACCUCUCUCUUGGUAACUAAUAUUUGUAUGGUGUGAUUUCUGGAAUUCACGAUCUAAGAUCUAAAUAGUCUGAUUCAUGUUGUCAAUAUCUUAUCGAGGUCUUGACUGACUAAUCUUGAGUAUGAUUUUAUUUGGUUUGGUGUUUAUAUUAUGUAAUGCUCAAGUCUUUCACCUGAAAAUAUUAUUAAUUGAUCGAAUUAAUCUAAGUUUAGUUCUUGAUGAUUAUUUUGUGGGACUAGAAAACAAAGUUUUUAUGUUUGUACUUUGUAGGAAUUAUUAUUAAUGAAGUAUUCUUUCUUCUUAUCUCUCAUUGGUUUUGCUUGUUAGAACAACAAUUGUCAUUACAAAGCAUCUCUAUGUCUCUCUCUAACCGUUACUAUUUCCACUGUCUUGGCUUGCAGGUCGUCGCUUGAGUCGGAUGAGGUCAUGGUUACUUUACCUGAUGAGUUACUGCCCAGGAAGAGCACAAUCCACCACCGCUAUAUAGCAGAUGGAGCUACCAAGGACGUCGUCAUAUUGACCACCGAUGACCUACAUCCUUUCGCUUCCCCUCAUGUUUUGCAGAAUAGAAGUGGCCUGAAAGCCACUUGAAUGAAAUCUUGUGUCUUGCGAUGUGUCAAUGCCAUGAAUUAGAUGUUUGUAGUAUAUUUUUUUAAUUGAAAUGUUUACCUGUGAUAUUGAGCACAGUACAUUAGUGCAUGGAUCAGCAUUGCAGUUUCAACUCUUUUGAUGUAUGGUGAUCUAUGUUUUGUGCAGACUAACAAGGCUUUGUAGUGAAUUUUUAUAGGUCACAUGCGACAAGUUGCCCUUCGUAUGUUAAUCUUGAUACUUUGUACUGAAUUUUUAUGCGAACCAUUUAUUUGUCCGGAUUGUCUUAUAUCGUAAAUCUUGAUGUCUUCUGCUAAAUCUUGAUGCUCUCUG
Molecule: long non-coding RNA, 3892 nt
Filed under: Triticum aestivum (bread wheat)
Lineage: Eukaryota; Viridiplantae; Streptophyta; Magnoliopsida; Poales; Poaceae
Description: long non-coding RNA (TAES_LNC003855)
Source: RNAcentral